Molecule: long non-coding RNA, 548 nt
Filed under: Homo sapiens (human)
Lineage: Eukaryota; Metazoa; Chordata; Mammalia; Primates; Hominidae
Description: non-protein coding lnc-MUC19-1:5
Source: RNAcentral
UAAGAAAAUGAAGGAUUAGCAAUUGUUAAUGUUAAACCUCACUUCUGACUCUCUUUUCCAUUUCAUUUUAGGUAAGAAUAAUUGCAGAUCUUCCCUUGUAAAUGUGACUGUUAUCUACAGUGGUUGCAAGAAAAGAGUUCAGAUGGCAAAAUGCACAGGGGAAUGUGAAAAGACUGCCAAGUACAAUUAUGAUAUCUUACUCUUGGAACAUUCAUGCCUUUGCUGCCGAGAAGAAAACUAUGAACUCAGAGACAUUGUACUUGACUGUCCUGAUGGCAGUACAAUCCCUUACCAAUACAAGCAUAUCACGACCUGCUCUUGUUUAGACAUAUGCCAACUAUAUACGACCUUCAUGUACAGUUAAUGCUGACAUCACCUUCCCAGUUUUAACAGGCCUGGUAUUUAUUUUAUAAGUGAGGAAAAAUAAUCAUUUAAAAAGUGAGAAUAAACUAAACAAUGUGAGAAUAACUCAAAACAAUGAGUUCUCAUUGUGAGGAAUUUUGUUCUCUUGUUGACUGGAUCUGAAAAAUAAACACAACUUGACAAGC